AUAGCGUAUACUAAAGUUGUUGUGGUUAAAAAGCUCGUAGUUGGAUCUCAGUUCGAGUCGGCCGGUCCACUUGCCAGUGGUACUGGUCGGCUGAACACUUUACCGACUCUGUCUACAGUGCUCUUAAUCGAGUGUUGUAGGCGAUCGGUACGUUUACUUUGAAAAAAUUAGAGUGCUCAAAGCAGGCUUGCAAAGCCCGAAUAAUGUUGCAUGGAAUAAUGGAAUAGGACCUCGGUUCUAUUUUGUUGGUCUUCGGAAUUCCGAGGUAAUGAUUAAGAGGGACAGACGGGGGCAUUCGUAUUGCGACGCUAGAGGUGAAAUUCUUGGACCGUUGCAAGACGAA
RNAcentral lists this ribosomal RNA (343 nucleotides) under Liebstadia humerata. RNAcentral describes it as "SSU rRNA". It matches the Rfam family "Eukaryotic small subunit ribosomal RNA", at positions 594 to 939 of the family's 1831-position model. Lineage: Eukaryota; Metazoa; Arthropoda; Arachnida; Sarcoptiformes; Liebstadiidae. The record is from RNAcentral.